CAAGAGCUUCUUUUCCAUGGGUCCAGAUGAUGAAGAUGUCAUCAAUGUAGCGCAAGUAGAGUAGGGGCAUUAGGGGACGAGAGCUGAGGAAGCGUUGUUCUAAGUCAGCCAUAAAAAUGUCUAUUCUAGCAGUGCAGACAACCUUCCUACGGACUCCCGAGGAAGGCCCCAGGUCCUAUGGACUAUCUUCAGUGCAUGGUGUUCAGCAAAUGCAUGCAUGCCAGGGCUUCCUGAGGAGAGCCAUUUUCAUACAGACGGCUAAUUGUUAGCGGUAAUAAUAACUAGCUGACAGCUGUAUCCCAUCAGAGACUGCGCUACAGUCGUCUCUGCCCAUUUCCAGAGGGGUUUAGUCAGGGCUCUUGUUAUGUUCAUAUUGAUUUUGAACACAAAUUGUUAGCAAAGUCUGACUCUAAUGGCUGCUGCCAGCUGACUGUAUUUCAGCUAAAUACAAAGGUGGGGCCAGACCCCAGUCCCAGGUAUCCUGGGGUGAAUCCAGAGUAACUCCAUUGAAGAUGAAGCCUCUCGUGUAACUGAGAUCAGAAUCUGACCCAAACUCUCUGUAGCUUUAGCUUCAGAGUGUGAAGAUUUCAAGGAGUGCAUGAGGCGGGGCAGGUUAGGAUAUUAUGAUCUGAAAUGGGUAAUUGUUUGGUGUGGACUUUCUAUGCCUCUUUCAUAUACACACUAGGGGUAGCUGUGCAUGGCUCCAGGAAACUCGAAGAGGCUCCUUUCUAGCACUGCUGGUGGGAAGAAGCUGCAGGUGGCUUAGGGGUAAUUUCCUGGGAGCUAGAUUCCGCCCCAAGUGACUAGCACAAGGUCCGUUGUCCUCUGGAAGUGAGCUCAGUGCUGGUGGUCAAUGGAGGAUGUCUAUGGCUUUGUCUCCUAGUGACACAAAGAGGAAAUGGGUCCUUUUUCAGCAUCACUUUGGACACAGUGUAAGAAAAGAUGCUUCAAUGGUUCUUGGCAUUCUGCCCCACCUGUCCCCAUGUUCAGAUCACACAGAGACACACACAUUGUGCAAAUGUACAUACAAGUUAGAGGUGGUCAAAACACCUGAUUGCAUCAAAAAAAUUUUUUUGUUUUUUUUCCCCCCAAAAUCAAAUUUUGAUGAAAAAUGUAAUUGAAAAAUUGAAAUUCAGAAAAUUUGGACCAACUUUAACAAUCUAGUCAGCCCUGAAAACAACACAGGUGCACACACACAUCAGGUGGGGAAGCAGCUAGUUCAAGGGAAAUCUAGGCAGCGGUCAGCAGCAGCAAAUGGAGAUACACAACUAUCUCGGAAUGGUUCCAGACCCACCCUCCUCUUUUCCUGCAGAGAAUCAGGUUUUGUACAGAUUCCACACCCCAGACUAAGGGCUGGCUCCCUCUUCCAGGGCACAGGCAUGGUUCCUUUUAUUGCUGUCUGUGAUAGUGUGAAUCACCGCAGCACGUGCCAUGCAGGUGUUAGUGGGAGUAGCCCUGUAGGAAGGCAUGACCAUGAGCACGGGUUCUGGAUCAUGGCACAAGUAGUGGGGGAUCCAGCCCAAUGAGGGGCUGGCUUGUUGACUGAGGAGCUGCUGGUGUCUGGGAAUCAUCUCCUUUUGGUUAAGCAGUGUCAGCAAAGUGACUCCUGCAGCACGCGGGGAGCCAGGCUUUUGCUCUUCCUGAAUUGAAGACACGAUGCCCUGCCCCUCACCCCCAUCAGGCCUGUGUCGUCCCCCCCCCCCCCCGGGGCGUGCUAUGCAGCCGGACAGCAGGGAGAGCACAGCAUUGCAGCAUGCCCAGCACUCUAUGGCUCAGAGCUACGACCCCCAAUUAGCUCGUGUUCCACCUUCAUCUUCUCUCUCCUUCGGAAUGUAAAGCUGGCUCCUUCCUGAGUCAUGAAUGGAAGCCAGUCCAGCCAGCGCCCGAGUGACCCAGUGAGCCGCACUCUGACACCGCACGCGCCGCUGGCAGAAACCAUUUCUAAUUAAGAGGAUUUGAUCAAAUGAGACAGCGAGCGACUCUGGAGAAAGCCAGGGGCUUGGCUUCUGCAUGCCUUAGCCCUGGAGAUGCCCAAGCCAAAGGGGCUCCUUUGGAGGGGACUUGCAUGCAGACAUGGGGACGGCGCCACUAGCCACCCCCUUCCUAGUCCAGUAGUGUCUUUGCUGUCAUGUUUUCUCCUAGCUUAGGGUGGGGGUGGCCCCAGAGGACUGCAGUCUAUCCAUCUCUAUAUCCCCAGGGACAGAGCCAGUGCGGGACCUUUCUGUAGCCAGAAGAGGCUCUGCAGCUUCCUCUGAAAGCACCUUGCCCAGAAGAGGAGCCUAUAGCCCCUGCACCAGCUCAGCCCAGAGACGGGGAGCCUCUGGCAUAGUCUCCUCUGAGCCCCCGUUUCCCACAGGGCGGUAGAGCAUCGCAGGCAAGACUGUCUUGCUGGGGUGCUUAUUAGUGCGAGGCUUCCCUUUGGUGCCACCUGGACCCCAGGAACAGGGAAGCUGGGUGGCCGUGGAAGGUGCCGCAUGCUGUUCUCUUUUGCUGUGUUGGUUGCUUUCUUUUGCAGCUGCUAAUGACUGACCUGAGGUCUGUUCACACACAGUCCCCUGCGCGGCCGGAGCAGCAAGACAAGAUGGGGGGUUAUUUUACAGUGUUCUUAUAGCCAGUGGCACCAGAGACACCAGAUGUUUGCCUGAGGGAUGCGCCAUCUCGCUCCCCAGUGGGAUUCCUGAGUCCUGGUGACCCGAUGGCAGCGCUGUGGCGGUGCCCUGGCAAGGAAGGGGCAGCAGUGAGUCAGAGCACCUCAGACUGGCACCAUGGGGAGCGGGUUUCUGUUCUUUGCCACAAAUCCCCAGGAGCCAGUGUGGCUCCAGGGAGGAUCACGCUGACUGGGCUGGCUGUGAGUGUAGUCAUGAGGCUGCCUGCUCGGAGCUGCGGGAGCAGCACACACAGGACUCUGCCUAAGGUAUUGCUUAGUGACGACACCCAGAAGAUUUGAGACUGUGGCAAACGCCACAUGUCAGCCUGUGCGUGUUGACUGCCUGACAGAUUGCGGCCCAGUGCAUCCCCCCCUUUCACAGGGGUAGACGGCUUGCAGUGGGAGAGGGCUCUGAGACGAAGCGUGGCUAAGGCUUUCUUGCCAGGGUCACUUCUCCAAGCCAGUGCAAAUCCCGAUGCCUCGGCCCUUUCACAGAGUUAGUUCCCUCGGGAGGAGAACAAGAGUUAAGGGCUGGGGAAUGUUCUAGAUGCUUACGAAUGGGGAUGAUGCCAAAGCAGUUCAUGCUUGUCUGAAACCUCCCCCAGAAAGAGAACCGAUUCCUUAGGGCUCCCCCACCCCGCCCUUGGGGCAGUGGGCCAGAAGGGCAGGGCUGGGUUUGUAGUGUCCAUCUGCAGAUUAUCCUCGCGGCUGAGAGGACAGACUGCCACUAGGCUCAGCGCUGGUGCAGGCUACUGCAUUCGCCCGAUCUGCAUGAAUGAUGGUGCUUAGCCUUUCUGGCUCGCUGGGGUGCUCCCCUGCCCCUGAGUGAUAUACCGGGGUGCUAGGAGCUGAGGGAUCACCUGGCCGUGGUGGUAGCUCUGGAAAUACUGAAUGGGAAAUGGUGGCGGUGGGAGGAGUUUAAGGAACAAGUUCAUUCCACUGGCCUUUUGUCACCGGCUCAUGCCAUGACUUCUCUGGUCCGGUGAAUGUUCCUUUUGUGAACGGUGCCAAGCCCAGUAACAAUGGAGCUGGGGUGGGGGCCAGCGAUCCUGCUCUGAAUUCCUUGAGUCCCCAGAGAGGCUUGUGUGGUGUGAUCUCCUCGUGUCAGCGCCAGAGUUCGGGGCUCAGAGGGACCCAGGCUGCGCAUUGUCUCUAUCACCUGCAGGCGACGCUCUGGGGCUUUUCUCUGCCAUGUCUGUCCUGUGCAGCUGUAAUAAGGGGAGAGUGCCUCAGGGAGAUUGGCUUGCCCCGAUGCCUGUGUGCUGGGCUGUGUGUUUAAAAACCUGUCAGCCUCCAAGAGCAACGUGGAGCAUGCGGGAGGGAAUGCCACCCCUCAGAACUCCCCUGAGCCACAUUCCUCCAUCACCAUGCUAAGCAAGCGCCGUGUUCCCCUGGAAAACGUAACAUCAGCACUUUCCUGCUGCUGGGAGGUAGGUGGGAGCGCGCCCCAGGGAGGUCAGGGAGCAGCUUCUGCAGGCGGGGUGCGGUGGUGGGACUUGCAGGUGGGAUUCUUUUAGCAAAAUUAGCUGCAGGUGUGUUCCCGUUCAGUGAGGAACGAUCCGAGAAGCCAGAAUGGAGGGCCUUGCGCCAGGGAGCUUGCAUCGAGCGAGUCCAGCUAUUUCCCAUGUGUGCCAGCACAGUAGAGCAGGGGGGAUGGAAUCUCCUGGCUGUAUCUACCUACUGCUGACGAGAGAGGAGCCGAGGGAGCCUGGUGGGGGCAUAGAGGGCCCCGUUUGGUUCCAGGGGGUUGUUUCCUUUCCCUCUCACUUCCCAUCCCUGAGACAUUCCCUAGUGCAUGUGACAGAUGGAGCCUGCCUUAGCUAGGAACCUUCUGCUUCUCCCGCUUCACAGCUGCAGUUAGUCUCUUCUGGUUGUUCACUGUGGUUCUGUGCUGCUCCAUGGGCAUGCUGGGGAGAGCCCCCUAGCCAAGCAUCCUCAAUACGCCCAGCCUGCCGGGUUCAUGGUCAGGCCGUGGGGGAGAGCCAGAAGACAGAUCUUCACUGUUCUUUGGAAUUCCAUUUGUUUCCCUACUGGGCCCCUGCUCGCAAGACAGCAGCUACUCAGACCGGGACAGAAAUAGCUUUGUCUCUCCAACAGCCCAGCUGUCACUGAUGUGCUGCCAGCUCAUGGCCUUUGCCCCAGCCAUCAGCUUAGUGCAAUUUCACAGCGUUCUCCUAACCCCGUUACCCAUUUCCUUCCUCUGCUUCUUCUGGCAUACUCCUGCCCAGUAGAUCGGACGCAUUUAGCUCUGAUGGGCUGGCCAGCUCCUCAGCUCGGUCACUCCCGGCCCGUCUCCACCGCCUGUGGCAGCGAUCAACAGGCUUAGGCUGGUGGAGCUGGGGCUGCCAUGUGGCUUGGCCUGGGGCUCAGGCUCUGAAGGCCAGGAAGUGGGGUGGGCUUUGGAACCCGAGCUCCAGCCUGAGAUAGAAUCAUAGAAUAUCAGGGUUGGAAGGGACCCCAGAAGGUCAUCUAGUCCAACCCCCUGCUCAAAGCAGGACCAAAUGUCACACCAAAGCCCUGGCUAGACAGCGAGUGCCAGCGUGAGCCCUGCAAACCCGGGCCGGAGGCUCGCUGCUGCGGGCAGUGCAGACAGACCCAAAUAGCCUAACUCUCAUCUGCCCUGGAGCUGGGGGCAGGACUCCCUUCUAGCUGGUGUGAGUGAGGGGAGCGCGUUGGCUUGGUAGCUGUGUAGACGCUUCUGCACAGGGGUGCAUGGCAGCAGGAGGGGCCGAGCGCUCUCCUAGGCCAGGACGGUGCUAGGGGCUGCGUUUGCAAAGUGCUUUAUUCUCCAGUUCGGUUAUUUAGGGUCACACAGGCCAGUUCUAGCCUCAGAAUAAUGAGCCAACCACAUUCCACAUCCCGGCUUGAUAGCCCAAAGGCAUCUCCUCCUGACAGAUACCAGGAGCUGCCCCUGGCCUAUGACAGCAGCAUGGGCUAAACUCCAAGGAGGUGCAUCCCCCACCAGCAAGUGGGACUAACUGGUGCAUUGUGCAUGUAUAUUACUGUGCUAAGUUAUUAACAUACUAACCCAGGAAGAUCUCCUUGCCCUCACAGACUCUGCCCCCCAGCAAGGCCUGCAAAUGCCGCUGGAACGUGGAGUAAGUUACUUGCGAACGAACUAACCCACUAACUGGCUGUAAUGCAUGCACUACUAACCCGUCCUCUUUCACCUCCUACUAACUGGGGACAGCAACCUUGCCUUUAAAGGGGAACGGAAAAGCUUCUGUAAGUACAUCUGCAAAGAAGUCAUUCAAGUUGCCGCCCCAGGAACAGAAUCUAUGUGCACUGUCAAACAUUACAAACACAGCGAGGGAAUCGGUGGGGAGCUGCUGCUCCGUGUACCUGGCAGGGCCUGAGUACAGGAUUCUGUCUUUCCCCAGCAACAUGGGGUAGCGCUCCAGGAACACCAGAGAGCCGCACUCUCUGCUCUGCUGUUGGUGCUAGAACUCCCACAACACCCGCAGAGGAAAGACAGAUGCUGCUUCGCCAGUUUUGGCAGGUCACUAGAGGAAGGGCUGAUUUUCCAGGGUCUUUCUGUCUGUAAUGCUGAAGUCUGCAUGUGGAUUCUGCUGCUGACUAGGGAUCCUAGACUGGGUUUAUUGACAAAAGCUUUUCAGUUCCUUUUUAAGUCACUAGAUCUCUCUCUCCUAUUACUAACACAUUUCCAAACUGAAUUAAACAAACUAACCUUUGCUGCUUUUCUCUCCAUUUCUCUUUCCUAGUUCUGUUCCUGAACUAAGAUGCACUCUCUGGUUAUGACAUGUGGCUCUUUAUUAACUGCUUGUACUAAUCUCUUCUUAGUUGGUUCUAUAUGCUACUAACAUACACUCUUUAGCUCCUUAACUUUCUAAUACUAUUCACCAUGACAAAUGAAUGGACAGGUGUUCCCCCACCCCUCUAACAGAUCCCUGUUCAAACGACCCUCCUCUAUUAUGUGGCUGUUCUUUUUUUCAGAACAGCAGAACAUCUUUAACUCCCAUUAAGUGCAAUGAGAAAGGAAGUUGCUCAGGAGUUUUGAAAAUUAGGCCACUGUUUUUCAAUCAACUUUAUGAGGCUAAGAGAAAACAAUGCUAUUCACAGGCUUUAUAAAAUGGCUUGGAGUGGCAUGUUUCACAUAUUGGUCAGUCACUUUGUAAUUUGUAUUUGCCAGAAGGUCUGCUGAAGCUAGUUUGCAGAGAGACCCUGUUAAAAAGCAAUUAAGAAACUGCAGUCCCCACCUGUACCCCAAACUCUUGAAUUGCUUGGAAUGCUGCCUGGUUCAUCUGUCAUUGGGAAUGGCCUUCACAUCAGCCUUUGUGCCCCUGUUACUCCUGAGCUUUGGGACGGACAUGGGGCGCUCUCAGCUUGUGCCGGCCCAGGACUCAGUUUCUUUGGAUCUCCACAGUUUUCCUUUUGGCACUGAUGCAUGUGGAAAGCAGUUGCCAACCUCGAGUGCCUAACUGCCAGGAGCCGAGGGGCUGAACCUAUCUGGUUGAUUGGCACUUGUUGUACUUACUCCUGGUCACUAACUCGAGAGCAUGGGAGGUGAGGGGCAGGGAGAGGAACAGGACAUGUUGUCUAGAGGGAAAUCUGCCUUCGAGGCAUUUAACAUAUUUUAUGAUGCACUAACAUUGGGCCUAGUUGUGAGGUCUCUGUUCAGCUUUCACUCCACUUGCAUGGGCUGCAUUCCUGUUGCCUUCUCUGGGAGUUUGCCAGAGUAAAGGCGACAGGGUUUUGCCCAUCCACUGUGUCUUUGGCAUGCAAACCAGGAAUAUCCGCUAGCUCACCAGCAUCCCCUCAGGGGGCCUGCGGUGAUUAACAGGACUAACCUAACCCCUGCAUGGACGGAGAGCAAUGCUGGUUGCUGUCCUUUGAACUGCACUUAAAUACUGAAGGCAAAGGCCCGAUUCCUAAAUCAGUCAGUGAUAAUAGAUGGAGUGGGAACUUGACGCCCUUAACCACCCCAAAGGCUAUGCAUGAAGCCUGCAGCACAGGGUACCUGGCCAGGCAGUGGGUCCCUCCUGCACUGCUCCGGGGGGAGGAAGGUGCCAAGCCAACAGAACGUGGCUAAUGGGCUGAGGAGAUGUGGGUAGCAGGAGAGGCAGGGGGCUGUGAAUCAGAACAUCGCUGCUCAGAGCUGGGGCAGGGGUGAUAAUGUAACGUGUGUGUGGGGCUGGCAUCAUCAUGAGAUGUUCCAUGGAGAGUCGUGCAUGGGCGGGGGAGCAAAGGGAGAUGCCCCGGUGAGAUUCAGCUGGGGAGAUCACAGUGGUCCAGGGCAGUGUGGAGAGCUCCCCCAACUAGGGAGCAGAGCCAGUAGGCAGAGGUCAGAGAGCUCGGGGGGAAGAUGGCAGGAGUGAGAGGAGGGCACAGUGAGAACAGGGAGGGGGUGCAGGCAGAGAGGAGAACAGCGCCAGUCCAUGGGCAGAGCGGGACCAGAUGCAGCAUGUUACUGGCUUACCGAGCACCCAUCCCCGUUCCCCCGCUGUUAGCUCCGCUGACAGGGAGGGGUGAGUUUGCCCCUUCUGUGCAUCUCAGCGUGGCCGAGGGCUACACACGAGAUCCUCUCCUUGAACUGCCCCCACUUGGGAGCAGCCUGGCUGUGACACUCCGAUGAGCAGAACUCACAGGAGGAGAGUGUCCGCCCGGACAGACAGACCGACAGGUGCACUCUGCAACCAGGAGCAAUCGCUUUCUCUCUGGGUGUGGGUGCUCUCCAAGAGGAGCUCUGCCCAAGUGCUUUAUGGAUCUGGCCUGUAAGUGAUAGGAGCCUGUCUUGCUCGUGAGACGCUCCGGUGCUCACUCCCCUUUCUCUGCUGUCUAACUGCUAACAGCUGUUCUGCUUUGCCUUGAGAUGUGUAGCUGGAGAAGGACCCACAGCGUGACUCGGUCUUUAUGCCAGUUUAUUGCCUGUUUCUAUAGCAGACCCCCCCACACACCUUUAACCCCUGUGUGUUUCUGUACUAAACACCAUGACCUGUUCCUUUCAGGCUGAUAUUAAUGACUUGCUGGGGAUCUCGCCACUAACCUGGCUGCCUCCUCUCGAUUAUCUCUCCGGGUCUGAGUGUGGCAGUGACGUGGCUGGUGUAUUUUUACCUAACAUACUAACUAGUCAGGAGGCUGCCCGGCCCUGACUGCUCCCUGCUUUAUUAACAUACUAAAACCUCUCUCAGGGCUGGGCUCAGAAUGGGUUUGGGGGUCUGUUGUUCCAUGUGCUUCCUUGGAGAGUGGGGCUGUGAUGCACCCCCAAAUUGAGGUGCGAGCACGCCUUGCCCUUUCGGGGUACUGCAAAGGGUAGAGUAUCUGGCUGCCUUGGAUCAGUGUGAACAGCGAUGCAGGUUUGCCCAGCUGGGAUGGGGCCCUCCAGGGGAAGGAGGGCAUGCAGGCUCAGCCUGGGCACAGCGAGGCUGGCUCAGAUCACGGUGAACCCGAGCUAGGUUAAAUCGAGGUGAUCUGGCACAAGGCCUGGCAGAGAAAGCGAAACCUUCCUAUUUUGCAGGUGAGCGAGAAUCUGCCCAGGAUAAUGUAGCAACCAGGGAACCAGCAUUUCAGCCUCGGUGGUGUUCAAAGCGGGAGCUGCGGCUGAGACACUGUCUGGAAGGGCUGGCAGAGCCUGGGCCUGACCGCUGGCCAGCCCCUCACUGUUGUGUUAUGGUGUCUAUCACAGCUUUCAGUGACCUGAGCCUCCCCCGCUGCUCAUGACCUAACCAGUCCGCCAGGCAGCAGGUGCUAAAAGGCUGGAUUUGUCAUCCCAGGAGAUGAGUGGAACACGUGAGCCCCAAAGGCCAAACCUGUGUCUGUGCCAACCCCUGUGGGACUCGGCAUUUGGAAGCUUCCCUGACCUUCUCUGGGUCCCCUGCUCUUCCGGUCUGUUGGUUUGCACAGGCUGGAACCCUGGGGCCUGAGGGGUGGGAGCCGCUGGGAAGACUGCAGUCUCCACAGGAGAAGUAUGCUCCCGUCUGCACGGCAAGCUCCUCGGCUGCCACGAGCAGCGAUGCAGGGCAGGGACAGGGAGCACAUGAAAGGGUUCUUACAGAACGGGCGGCUUUGCUUGGCUGGCUCUGUUGCUCCGCUCCUUGUCACUGCGCAUGUUCCCUACUUGGCGCCCGGGUGUCCUUUGGGUUCAGGUGGCUUCCCAUCUCUGGCUGGGUAGGGGCAGAGAUUUGCCCCCCUGUCUGUGCAAGUGCAGCAACUCCAGGGAUCCAGCGUGGCAAGGGAACAUGGGGGUCACCAGCAGCCGCCGCUCCAGACCCAGCUCCUGUCCUGCGUUGUGCUGCUUCUCAGCCCCCAGGCAGGCAGCGAUCCCCCAGAGCGGGUCACAAGGCUGGGCUCCCCCAUUUCCCUCCAGGGGCUGUGGGGCUCCAUGCCUUCUGGGCUCGACAUGGAUUCCCAGGGAGUCCGGAGAGCUGGGGGAUGUUGCACGGCAGCAUCACGUUGGGGACGAGGGCGUGACCGGCCUCUGGCACGAUGCUGGGCAGCACGUAGAGGGAGCUGAGGGGAGAGCUGGGGCUGGUGUAUGAGGAGAGGUGAAAACCUGCAGCUAAGGGGGGAUGGCAGGAGCCCCCAGGAGUUGGCCCUGUGAGCGAGGAGGGAGGGGAUGAACGAGGGGGCCCAGGGGAGCAUUUAGGAACCUGGAGAUGAGGGACAGGAGAGCUGGGGCAGGCAGCAGUGCCGCCCGGGGCAGACCUUCCUCAGGACAGGGGCUAUCUGGCCUAACAGCACUUCAAGCUCCAACAUCUGGGAGCAGGGAUCUCCCAGCGUGCCGAGGUUGACCAGGUUUUAGAUCCAGGGCAGGGUCACUCCAGCAAGCGAUGGCAGACUCCCAAGAGUCCCCUGCUCCUGUUCUCUGGGCCUCACCCCGGUGGAUUAGGCACAGAGCUCUCCCUGCGUCGGUGCCCCGUCGCGCGGCUCCAGCAGUGGCCAGUGCUGGGCUCAGCGGGAUGGCUGCCGCGCACACCUCACUGCCGCCAAGGGCACUUGGGCCAGGUAACGCUGGCGGCUGAGGGAGGCAGGAACCAGCCUAGAAGGGCCAUUUGUCUGCUUGUCUGCAGCAAGUCCUGUGUUCCUGGGUACAGGAGAGUCAGAGCAGGUGACAGCCCCCAGGACUGCUCCUCUCCCCUGCCCUGCAGUCGCUGUGGGCAGGCCCAGGGGGGAAGUCUGAGAGCCAGAAGCCCCAGGGCUGGGGAGGAUGGAUGGUGAUGAGACACAGUCUGGAAGGGCUGGCCCAGCAGCCCCCGUUUCCAGGGGUGAGCAGCGUCUGAUGUUCCCUGCGGGGAGCGAGACCAGGAGGCGACAGAGGGAGCUCGUGCCCCAGCUUGUCACUUUCAGGUUUCACAAACCCUGCUGCCAGCACCCCCAGGGGCUGCCCCACAGUCUCCGGGGGCCGGGGGGGGGGAUCCCUGCCAUCCCACAGCCUUGCUGCUCUCAGGUUUUAGCUCCUGGGUAGAAUGGGGCCCUCUAGGGAGGGAUGCCCCUAGUCCCUCUAGAGCCAGAGAGCUCUGGCCACUGCCAGGUGAAUAGGCGUGUGAGGGGAGACGGACAGACAGAUGGACAGACCAGUGAGACAGCAGUCUAAAUCUUGGGGAGGAUGCUGCAGGCCCAGCACUGCCUCGACUGGGCAGCCUGGAGACAGCUCCCUUCCUUGCAGCUGCGCUAAGCACAGGGCCCAAAACCGCUCACUGCUCCUCGCAGAAAGGGGAGACAGAAGGGGCCUGUUUGGUCACGUCUCCCUCUGUCCUGAUUGUUCCCUAUUGCACAUUACAGCCUGCUGGCUUUUCAGUGAUCCAGGCAAUGGCACACCCAGCCCUUGCCUUGGGAGACUGUUCCGUAGCCUCUCAGACCAGGCCAUUGGGCCAUUUCUCCAGGCUGUGUCUGUGUGUCUCUCUGAUGGUGCUGUGUGUAUGUGUGUGUGUGCACGUCUGUCUCUCUGAUGGUGCUAUGUGUGUGUGUGUGGCGUGUGUCUCUCUGAUGGCUCUGUGUUAGCGUGCGUGUCUGUGUGUGUAAUGGCUCUGUGUGUGUGUAUCUCUGAUAGCUCUGUGUGCCUGUGUGUGCAAUGGCUCUGUGUGUGUGUGCAUGUCUGUGUGUGCAAUGGCUCUGUGCGUGUAUCUCUGAUAGCUAUGUGUGUGUGUGUGUGUGUCUGAUGGCUCUGUGUGUGUGUGCAUGUGCCUGUGUGUGCAAUGGCUCUGUGUGUGUGUAUCUCUGAUGGCUGUGUGUGCGUGUGUGUGCAAUGGCUCUGUGCGUGUGUGUUGCUCCCACACUGAUAGUAACUGUUACUCUGGUGUCUGGUUCGCAGGGCCCUGGUGCGGAGGGUGGCUGAGCUAGCUGGACCGUGCUGCCUGCACAGGGCUCCAUUGCAAUCAGUGGGGGCUGCCCAAGAGACAGGUUACAAUGCAGGUUGCCCCUGGGGAGAGGCGUUAGUGAGGCUCAGGAAGGGGUUGGAGCUAAGCUACCUGCAUGAGAUGGUGGGGCUGGACGGGGGCUGCGUUCCUGCCCUAGGUCUGCUGUAGUUCGAGGCCAGGCUGGUGUCUGACCGGGCGGUGGCGGUUGCUGGACGGGGGCUCACUGGAGGGGAUGGUUUCCAGAGCACAUGGACUAACGGCCUGGCCAGCACCUUGCAGAGGAAGCAGUAACACGAGACCACGGGCAGCCUCCAGAGCCGCAUGCUCCUCUCACUGCUCAGCGUGGGCAGCUGCCCUGCUUUGCUGGCCCUGGCUGCAGCCCGACCCCUGUGCUUUUUCCUGCUGGAUUGGACAGGGUGUUGUAGUGGGUAAGAGGCUCUGCAAUAGGGCUGGGGGCGGGAACGCCCUGCCUCUCACCCCAGCUUUGCUGGGUGGCCUUGAGUGAGCUGCCCCAUGGGAUGGGAUAAUGAUGCAUGAAUGAGUUCCGGCCGCCUGAGCUCCCCUCUGAUAGUCCCUUACUCCAGGAGGUCAGUGGGACGGAGGCCGGAGGAGGGGGCAGAGGCUGGCUUUCCGAGGGCUGGUUGGUUAUUGUUCACUCCCCCCAUCCCUCCCAGCGGGAUCGGAAACUCAUGCAUCCCAACAGCUGCCCCGCCCCAGGAAGUGACAGGCCUUCCAGCAGGACGUCCGCAAAGACCCGAAAACUCAUCGGCCCCAGCUGCUAGCUACACCUCCAGGUAUCUGCACUCCUGGCUCACAGUGGUGCCGGGCGCCCGCAGCUCUGGCUGGCUCCCACUGGCGUCAGGGUGCUCAGGCCCCAACUGGGCCUCAUCCUGCAGCUGCGGCGUGUGCACUGUCUCCCUCUAGCGGCUGGUGCUCGAGAAGGAUAAAAGCCGCUCUCUGCUAAGCUUGUUCCUUCUGCCCAGGCAGUAGCGGCCUGGGAUUUUUGUGCAGAAGGCCCCAGGUCCAGUCACCGCUGCCAGCCUGUGUUGGGACAGUUGUUACAGAGCUAAAGGUCCAAGCCAGGAGCAGCACCAGGGGCUCAUGGCCCCUUGGUUUGUUUCAGCCUGUUGUAUUGUACAGUGGCACCUUUAGAGGGCACUGGGCCACUCGGGACAGGCCUUUGCUUUAUGGUCUCAUGAUCUAAUCGCUGCGGUUUCGCCAUAAGCCUCAGACCUUUCAUCCUCUGCCAUAGGUCCUUGUGUCUCUGUGCAGACCCACCUGUAGGUGGGUGUGGGCCGGUUCUAGCCCUGGUUCUCACUGGGCAUUGGAGGGCUCCUUUCUCUUGCACAGCAGAAGCAAAACUCCCAUUGCAGAAGCAUCUCAUAAGCAAGGGGUGCCUUUGACAAGUGGGGAACAACCAGGGCCUGACCCUCUCCCCUUUACUCUCUGAGUCGUGCUCACUCACGGGGUAGGGUCAGCCAGGAGGCAGAGCGAGGCCCAUAGAAUUCCAAAUGGAAGGGCUCUAGGGGAAAAAUUAAGAUAAUAAAAAACCCAAAGCAAAGAGAAACCUGUUGCUAGCAGAACCAGAUUGUUCUCCUCCUCCGGAUAUUCACUCCCCUGAAGGGUCUGCCGUGGGCCGCUGCUCGUGUGGGGAAUGGAGACCGCCCCCGUGGAAAUGACUGCAUUUGCUGAUGGCAUGCUCUCCUGAACAGUUCAGAUACAAUUGUUCUUAUUCACUGGUCAGGAACCUGUUUCAGAAGAGCUGUACCACACAAAGGUCUACGAGCAGCAGCGAUGCAAAGGGAGUUGUGGAGAAAUGAGAUGCAAAGCUGCCUUAUUUAAAUGCUAGCACAUUCCUGGCACACAUGCCUGCAGAGCUGCGAGGACAAGAGGCUAAACUAUGCUUCCUAGAAGCAAACCUGGGGAAAAGAGUCUGGGGCUGCGGUUCCCGGAGGAAAAGAAUCAAGUGGAUCCCACUGACACUAAUUUUUCCAAGUAACAGGAAAAAGCCUUUGAUAGGCUGGGUGACCUGGAGCCAGUAGAAUAAUGCCCGACCCAAACCUGGCCUGAACCCAAGGUGAACUUUAACUAGAACUGGGUAUAAGAAUUUGGUUCCCUGUAUUUUCCCUUCUGUGUCUCUGUGCUCCGGACAGGACUGGAUCUGAAAUGGCUGGGGCUCUGGAAUGGCAGGCAGGCAGGCUGGCUUCAUGAGAUUGCCAGCUCAGAUCUGCAUGGGGUGUGGACAGCUCAGGUCAGGUCCCCAGAAGCCCUGGAGUAUUUCUACAGCCUCAGCCCUUAGAGAUUUGCCCCUCGCUGUGCAUCUCACUUUCAUGGAGCGUUAGCUCUGUAUAAUACUAAUGCUGUGGGUGACGAGCCCUGGCACCCUGCAGCCCAGUCAGUUACAGCAUCCCCCAGCAGCCCAGCACCAAGCAGAAUUAACAGCCUGGCCAGUUAGCACGGCCCCAAAGGCCAGUGCAUCCAGCCCAAGGCCCUUCCCGCAGCCCCGUCAGACUGAUGCCUGGUAGGGGGGCCGAGAGGGGUUGUGGAGAGAACAUCACGCAGCUGGGACUGGCCUUUGUGCGGCUCUGGAGAAGCAGGCUCUUGGCCCCAUGGUGUUGCCCGCAGUGUAAAACCAGCGCCAGCAGACGUGCCGCGGAUCUGUGAAGAGCCCUGGCUGUAUGUGUGCCUGGGGCUCCCGAUGGACUGUGACCACUGGCUCAAGCCUGUAACGUCUACUCUAAACAUGUCAACUCUGCAAAUGC
This is a long non-coding RNA of Dermochelys coriacea (leatherback sea turtle), 14723 nucleotides long. RefSeq lists it as uncharacterized. The transcript has 2 exons. Lineage: Eukaryota; Metazoa; Chordata; Testudines; Dermochelyidae. The record is from RefSeq and is a predicted model, not a curated record.